CCUACGGGAGGCAGCAGUAGGGAAUAUUGCUCAAUGGGGGAAACCCUGAAGCAGCAACGCCGCGUGGGGGAUGAAUGUUUUAGGAUUGUAAACUCCUUUUGUUAGAGAAGAUUAUGACGGUACCUGACGAAUAAGCACCGGCUAACUCCGUGCCAGCAGCCGCGGUAAUACGGCGGGUGCAAGCGUUACUCGGAAUCACUGGGUGUAAAGAGUGCGUAGGCGGGGUAAUAAGUCAGAUGUGAAAUCCUGUAGCUUAACUACAGAACUGCAUUUGAAACUGGUACUCUGGAGUGUGGGAGAGGUAGGUGGAAUGCGUGGUGUAGGGGUAAAAUGCGUAGAGAUCAAGAGGAAUACUCAUUGCGAAGGCGACCUGCUGGAACAUCACUGACGCUGAGGCACGAAAGCGUGGGGAGCAAACAGGAUUAGAUACCCUGGUAGUC
RNAcentral lists this ribosomal RNA (440 nucleotides) under uncultured bacterium. RNAcentral describes it as "partial 16S ribosomal RNA". It matches the Rfam family "Bacterial small subunit ribosomal RNA", at positions 338 to 795 of the family's 1533-position model. The record is from RNAcentral.